RNAcentral lists this ribosomal RNA (508 nucleotides) under uncultured bacterium. Its description in RNAcentral is "bacterial SSU rRNA". It matches the Rfam family "Bacterial small subunit ribosomal RNA", at positions 28 to 526 of the family's 1533-position model. The record is from RNAcentral.
GAUAAACGCUAGCGGCAGGCCUAACACAUGCAAGUCGAGGGGCAUCAGGGAACUAGUUUACUAGUUUUGCUGGCGACCGGCGGACGGGUGCGUAACGCGUAUGCAACCUACCUAUAACAGGGGGAUAAUUCGGAGAAAUCUGGUCUAAUACCCCAUAAUAUUUUGAUUGGCAUCGAUUGAAGUUGAAAACUCCGGUGGUUAUAGAUGGGCAUGCGUUGUAUUAGCUAGUUGGUGAGGUAACGGCUCACCAAGGCAACGAUACAUAGGGGGACUGAGAGGUUUACCCCCCACACUGGUACUGAGACACGGACCAGACUCCUACGGGAGGCAGCAGUGAGGAAUAUUGGUCAAUGGACGCAAGUCUGAACCAGCCAUGCCGCGUGCAGGAAGACGGCUCUACGAGUUGUAAACUGCUUUUGUACGAGGGUAAACGUAGGUACGUGUACCUACCUGAAAGUAUCGUACGAAUAAGGAUCGGCUAACUCCGUGCCAGCAGCCGCAGUAAUAC